This 460-nucleotide ribosomal RNA is filed under the name uncultured bacterium. RNAcentral's name for it is "partial 16S ribosomal RNA". It matches the Rfam family "Bacterial small subunit ribosomal RNA", at positions 338 to 795 of the family's 1533-position model. The record is from RNAcentral.
CCUACGGGGGGCAGCAGUGAGGAAUAUUGGUCAAUGGACGAGAGUCUGAACCAGCCAAGUAGCGUGAAGGAUGACUGCCCUAUGGGUUGUAAACUUCUUUUAUAUGGGAAUAAAAUGUUCCACGUGUGGGAUUUUGUAUGUACCAUAUGAAUAAGGAUCGGCUAACUCCGUGCCAGCAGCCGCGGUAAUACGGAGGAGCCGAGCGUUAUCCGGAUUUAUUGGGUUUAAAGGGAGCGUAGGUGGAUUGUUAAGUCAGUUGUGAAAGUUUGCGGCUCAACCGUAAAAUUGCAGUUGAAACUGGCAGUCUUGAGUACAGUAGAGGUGGGCGGAAUUCGUGGUGUAGCGGUGAAAUGCUUAGAUAUCACGAAGAACUCCGAUUGCGAAGGCAGUUCACUGGACUGCAACUGACACUGAGGCUCGAAAGUGUGGGUAUCAAACAGGAUUAGAUACCCUAGUAGUC